Triticum aestivum (bread wheat) is the source of this 115-nucleotide non-coding RNA. The record is from Rfam. NCBI's taxonomy places the organism in Eukaryota, Viridiplantae, Streptophyta, Magnoliopsida, Poales, Poaceae.
CUUCUACUCCCUCCGUUCGGAAUUACUUGUCUCGGAAAUGGAUGUAGCUAGAACUAAAAUACAUCUAGAUACAUCCAUUUCCGAGACAAGUAAUUCCGAACGGAGGGAGUAGAAU